GAUGAACGCUGGCGGCGUGCCUAAUACAUGCAAGUCGAGCGAACGGACGUGAAGCUUGCUUCUCUGAUGUUAGCGGCGGACGGGUGAGUAACACGUGGAUAACCUACCUAUAAGACUGGGAUAACUUCGGGAAACCGGAGCUAAUACCGGAUGAUAUUUUGAACCGCAUGGUUCAAAAGUGAAAGACGGUCUUGCUGUCACUUAUAGAUGGAUCCGCGCUGCAUUAGCUAGUUGGUAAGGUAACGGCUUACCAAGGCAACGAUGCAUAGCCGACCUGGGAGGGUGAUCGGCCACACUGGAACUGAGACACGGCCCAGCCCCCUACGGGGGGCAGAAGAAGGGAGUCUUCCGCAGGGGGCGAAAGCCUGACGGAGCAGCCCCGCGUGAGUGAGGAAGGUUUUGGGAUCUAAAAACUUUUUUAUUGGGGAAGAAAAUUUGUGUAAGAACCUGUGAACAUCUUGACGGUACCUAAUAAAAAAGCCACGGCUAACUACGUG
This 497-nucleotide ribosomal RNA is filed under the name uncultured bacterium. Its description in RNAcentral is "partial 16S ribosomal RNA". It matches the Rfam family "Bacterial small subunit ribosomal RNA", at positions 28 to 507 of the family's 1533-position model. The record is from RNAcentral.